This is a long non-coding RNA of Lates calcarifer (barramundi perch), 991 nucleotides long. RefSeq lists it as uncharacterized. Lineage: Eukaryota; Metazoa; Chordata; Actinopteri; Centropomidae. The record is from RefSeq and is a predicted model, not a curated record. The transcript has 4 exons.
GCCAGAAGUCAGUGGACCUCGCCAUAAUCGUCUGGAUCACAGAGCGCCGUGGUUAAAGAGGGAUCCACAUGACGAGGCGUUCACUCUGGAUCCUGAAGGAAGGAACACCAGGAGAUGCAGCUGGAGGAGCAGGUCUCAGUCCAUGACGAUGCUCCUGGGGAUAAACUGAGAGACUUUUCCAGCAGGCUGAGGAUCAGAGCGUCACAGACCUGCUGUAAACCCUGAUCCUGGACUGUCAGGCAGCGCCGGCGGCUCCUGCAGACGUCUGCUGCCUUCAGCGGCUCUGGUUUCUCCUCACACUUCUGCUGCUGCUGCCUCGCUCUCUCUCUCCGUCUGACGCUCCACACUGCCUGGCUGGGAGAGAGGGAACCAGGAGCUCUUCAUGCUGCUUAAAUCAGGAGGGACGUGGAAUUAUUCAUUGGAAUACAUGCACACAUUUGCAUUGGAGCUGAUGACCCGCCUCUGCCUUUAGCUGAUUGGGCUGAAGUUGUCCUCCUGCUCUCUGAUUGGCUCAUCAAACUUCUGCUCUGCAUCCCAGCUCCUGUUGGAGAGACAAGGGUAAAGCAGUUAACCUGUCCUGUCAGUCACUCUGUCACUGGGCUGCAGACACACGCUGAUUAAUACUGUCACUGAUGAAUGAACAAGGACAUUUUCAUGACUUUAUAUACAGUUAGAAUACAUGUAUUGCUCAUACUGUAUGCCUUAUAUGUUAAAUCUUGAUCUGACAAAGUUACAGUGGCUUCAGAAAGUAUUCAGACCCCUUCACUUUACUGUGUUGUAGAUUUAAUUUUAAAUGGAUAAAAUUCUCAUUUGUGCCCAUCAAUGUUCGAUCAAUAACCUGUAACGACAAUUUGAAAACUCCUUUUUACGUCAGUUCUUCCCUCAGGAUCGGACCAAGAAUAAAUUGGUUUGAGAAUCAUGGGAAACACAGAGCGUGCAGUCAUCUGCUGACAAAUAUCUGUAAUAAAACGCUUGGAGAUGAUCAGUGUGA